Molecule: ribosomal RNA, 253 nt
Filed under: uncultured bacterium
Lineage: Bacteria
Description: partial 16S ribosomal RNA
Rfam family: Bacterial small subunit ribosomal RNA
Source: RNAcentral
UACGGAGGGUGCAAGCGUUAUCCGGAUUUACUGGGUUUAAAGAGCGUGUAGGCGGUCCGGUAAGUCCGCUGUGAAAGUCGGGGGCUCAACCCUCGAAUGCCGGUGGAUACUGUCGGGCUAGAGUGCGGAAGAGGCGAGUGGAAUUCCUGGUGUAGCGGUGAAAUGCGCAGAUAUCAGGAGGAACACCUAUUGCGAAGGCAGCUCGCUGGGACGUAACUGACGCUGAGACGCGAAAGCGUGGGGAGCAAACAGG